Molecule: non-coding RNA, 3039 nt
Organism: Anas platyrhynchos (mallard)
Lineage: Eukaryota; Metazoa; Chordata; Aves; Anseriformes; Anatidae
Source: RefSeq, a predicted model, not a curated record
CAUCGCAGCACCCGCCGGGCAGCGCCGGUGCCUCUCCCUCUCCCUGCCCUGCCCCGACCCGGUCCCGGUCCCGGCCCCAACCCCAGCCCCGGCCCCGUGCCUCCCGGCGCCGAGGGGAGCGGAAGGCAGCAGCGGUACGGAGCGGUUCCGGGGCGCGACGGCCGGGCGGGGGGGACGGAGGGGAUGCGGUGUCGCCACCUGCCGCGCCCUCCCGGCCCUGCAGCCCGCACCCGGCCGGUGGCGGCGGGGCAGCGCCCCCCGGCGAGGGAAGGACAGCGAGACCCGAAAAGCCUGAGGGGAGCUGCAGCCGCCUGGGCAGGCCGAGGUGGAGCCCAGCAGCCCCUAUAGCCCAAGGAACCAGGCACGGAAAGCCUGAGCGAUCCUGUUUGAUUGUUUAGAGCAAAAGUUGUGGUCCAAACAGUGUCCAGGAGGUGGAAAGGACCUGUUCUUAUUAAUGUCGGGCAGCACCACCAUCACAGCACUGCUGCGUGUUCUGUUCGGUGUGUGCACCCAUAAACUCGGGGAGGAGAGGGAAGGCAAAGACACCAGAAAUUAAUAACAGAGAGACUACAUGCAGCAGAAAUUCUCCACUGUAGGAGCUGAAAAAGCACAGUGAAGUACUUCUGGGUUAUCAAAGAAGCCAUCAUCUGAUGAACCAUAAAAAGCAUCAUCCUUAUUAUGCACUGAAUCAUCGAUGUUUAACAUGCGCUCACUGUCACAGAAAAAUCUGAUGCCUUUCCUCCAGUAUGCUUCAGCUUCAUCAGGAUCCUAUUUUUCAUGCUGACUGCGUGGCUGAAAGCUGUUGUGCAGUUAUUUGAACUUUUGCCAUCUCUCAGGAUGGCAAGCAUCAGAGCCAGCCACCAAGCAUAGCAGAGUGGAACCAUAAGCUAUCACCAGAACAAGGAUGGAAAGCAGGCUACAUGCACUGUAUCACAACCAAACCAGAGCGCCUGAGUUGUGAUACUUAUCCAUGCAUAUGCUCUUUUGUCAUCAUAAAUAUACACAUUUUUGUCAUCAUAAAUAUACACAUUAUCUUAAAUCAUCAGUGAAUGUUUAUAUAUAUAUAUAUAUUGACUGUUUCAUUUUAUAUAUAUAUAAAAUAUAUAUAUAUAAAGAAACAGUCAAUUUUGAUUUUCCUCACAUUUUCAACACUUGAGCAACCUACUGUGUCUCAGCUAAAGAACAAUGAUUUGCAAACAAAAAGCUUCUUAUGCACUCAAUUACUUGCAUCUUUAUUAAAAUAUUCACAGGAACCUGUGUGAGAGACAACCUCCAACAGGGUCUUAAGCACUUCCACUAAGGGGGUUCUUUAGCCUCAGCAGGGUUCCCUCUCCAAUGCUUGCCCUUCUCACCAAGCUUCUCCUUGUGCUCAGCUGAACCCUUCUUUACUACGAAGUUACUUCUCUUGUCCUUCACUCCAUUGAAUGUAGAAAACAACUAAAGGUUGUUCUUUGUAACAACUCUGUAUUCACAGUCUUUCUGUCUUUUUUUUUUUUUUAAUAGAACAACCUUGUGUUUUUUGUUUUUUUUUCAAGUGUUGUUUUUAUGCUUACUUUUUUUAAAAGACAGGAUUGGUCUUUUUAAUCGUCUCUGGACUAAUUUCAAUUGGUCACAUCCAUCCUAAAUUGCAGCAUCUAAGGCAGAUGACAUAUUUCAGUCCACAAGAGUAGUAUGAAUAACAGCAUGAAAAUACCUUACCAUUAUUACCUUUGUAAUAGGUAAAUAUAGAAAGGGAAAGUGAUGUAGGGAGCAAACUUUAAAGCAGUAGCAUAAUAGCUAGAACACCUGACAACUCUGUUGCAGAAUACAUUUUUUCUGACUAUAAUUUUGCUACUACAAACUCAAAAAUGGUAUUUUGAUACAAGUCACAAAUCAUGCAUUCUUUCUAUAUACCAGCAGAAUAAAAAAAAUAAAACAUUUUUUCAGUGUCUCUAAAAGCACUGCUUCUUCCCAAAGAGGCAGUACCCUAGUUUUUAAGAAUUCAGAAAUACCUGAAAAGUCCAUUUAAUGUAAUUCCAAAGAAUAAAAGCCUACUGCAGUGGAAAGCAAGUUAUGAUGAGAUUCAAGAUGUGCACAGAAGACUGAAAAUAUCUGGUAAAUCAAGUUUUUUCUUACACUUAAUAGAAAGAAACCUGGUCAUCCGAUAGGAUCCUUCCAUCCCUCAUAGAUAUGACCCUAUAUAAUUGUGGCCUUAUUAAUAAUGCUUGGAUGUAUGCCUUUGAUGCGGUUGUCAUUGCACUGAGGAAUUAUGUAAUCUCACUCCUUUGAUAGAACUUGACAAUACUGUGGAGCAGAUGAGAAAGUCAACUUUUCCUUUCCUAUUCUCUUCCUACAGAAUUUUAACAGCUAUUCAGUUCCAGUCUUUUGAAUGAAUGACACCACACAACACUCUUAGGAGAACCCUUUUUCCUCCCAGUUGUUACAUCACGUGAAGGGUGAUCUGUGCCUUGCACAUCUAAGGAAUAAACACACAGCUGCUAAAGAUCAAAGAACAAAAGACAAGCUUGGAAUACUCUCUUCUGCCAGCCCUGGAAGUACAUGGGCUCAUCCUAGUUACAGAUGAGAUUUAAUAGAUAUAGAUUUAAUUUAUGGACUGGGCCCGAUUUAAUACUAAAUUGACACUACUUUUCAUCUCGGCUGCAAGGUCAUGCAGAAAAAUAGGAUGAAGAUGUAGGCCACUGAAGGUUCACAGAAGACCUUCUUAUGUCAAGUAUUACUUAAAUAUGUAUUAUGUUUAUCAGCCUUCCAGAUGACAGCAACAAGCUGAAAACACAAUGGAAAAAAAUUAUGAAUUUUAAUCUUGCCUUUACUAAUCAGAGAAGGUUCAGGGAAAAAGAAAACAAAAACCAGGAAGUGCACUUUAAGGAAAGGAAACACAAGAUUUUCUAUUUACAAAUAAUAAUCAACUGGAAGGGGAACAACUUAGUAGGUAACAGUUGAACAGAAGAGACUUGGAGACUAUGUUGGAACAGAAGCUGGAUAUACCAGUAACAUGCUAUUAUACCAGGCUGUAUAAACAUAAAUAAAGCUUGAAUGGCA